Molecule: long non-coding RNA, 248 nt
Filed under: Sorghum bicolor (sorghum)
Lineage: Eukaryota; Viridiplantae; Streptophyta; Magnoliopsida; Poales; Poaceae
Description: long non-coding RNA (SBIC_LNC015961)
Source: RNAcentral
CAUAUAUUAGAUUGUUCUACUCUAUAUUCUCCCAUUAUCAUUUUACCUUUAAUAUUGUUCUUAUUCAAUUCUACCAUCUUUCCUAUUUACACUUACCCAUCUAUCUAGGUUAAGUUAGAGCGUAGAUCAGUUCUCCCGUUUCCUUGUGGAUACGAUAAAACCUUUAACCGGGUAAAAGCUACAACGGUAUCCGUGCGCUUGCGGAUUUAUCUAUGUGUGUAUAAAUACCAUAGUACACUCUAGUGCCA